GGGGAUUUAGCUCAGUGGUAGAGCGCUUGCCCAACAAGCACAAGGCCCUGGGUUCGGUCCCCAGCUCCG
Non-coding RNA from Rattus norvegicus (Norway rat), 69 nucleotides. NCBI's taxonomy places the organism in Eukaryota, Metazoa, Chordata, Mammalia, Rodentia, Muridae. The record is from Rfam.